Molecule: ribosomal RNA, 253 nt
Filed under: uncultured bacterium
Lineage: Bacteria
Description: partial 16S ribosomal RNA
Rfam family: Bacterial small subunit ribosomal RNA
Source: RNAcentral
UACGGAGGGAGCUAGCGUUGUUCGGAAUUACUGGGCGUAAAGCGCACGUAGGCGGCUUUGUAAGUUAGAGGUGAAAGCCCGGAGCUCAACUCCGGAAUUGCCUUUAAGACUGCAUCGCUUGAAUCCAGGAGAGGUGAGUGGAAUUCCGAGUGUAGAGGUGAAAUUCGUAGAUAUUCGGAAGAACACCAGUGGCGAAGGCGGCUCACUGGACUGGUAUUGACGCUGAGGUGCGAAAGCGUGGGGAGCGAACGGG